UGGUCCAUGGUAUUUCCCCCAAAUCAAGUCCAAAUCCAAUACCCCAAUCCAAUUUCAAAUUCGUAAAAGGCAAACUUGAGGUUGAAGCUGAAGGUUGAAAGCCUGAAACCAACCGCAAACCCUUUCCCAAUUCCAAAAUUUCCAUUCGAAGCAAAAGUAGCAGCUGCGCUUGCAAUUUGUGCGAAGUUCGAACUGCGAAUGAUGGUCACUACUUUGCUGCUAGCUCUUGCUGCUGACGCGACACCACGGGCGAGGCGUCGAGGAAGAGGAUAAGGAGUCGUCGUCAAUGACGUUUUUAUUCGAGCAGUCUACAGGUGACUGUACAAGGAAAGAGAAAUAAAGAAGUGAAAGAGAGAGGGACUGUAAAGGAUUGACGACGUGGAAGUUGGAACUAUGUUAUUGGUUUUGAAUUUGCUUACUGAAUUUUUAUAUUGGAUUGGACUCUAAUGCAAAAUGAAUUCUACCUUUGAAGCUUAAAAUUACUAAUUAAUACACGAAAUUAGAACAAUAAUAGAUUUAA
Molecule: long non-coding RNA, 520 nt
Organism: Olea europaea var. sylvestris
Lineage: Eukaryota; Viridiplantae; Streptophyta; Magnoliopsida; Lamiales; Oleaceae
Exons: 2
Source: RefSeq, a predicted model, not a curated record